RNAcentral lists this unclassified non-coding RNA (310 nucleotides) under plant metagenome. RNAcentral's name for it is "partial contains 5.8S ribosomal RNA, internal transcribed spacer 2, and large subunit ribosomal RNA". The stretch from base 1 to 105 matches the Rfam family "5.8S ribosomal RNA", at positions 50 to 154 of the family's 154-position model. The record is from RNAcentral.
GAAAUGCGAUAAGUAGUGUGAAUUGCAGAAUUCAGUGAAUCAUCGAAUCCUUGAACGCACACUGCGCCCCUUGGUAUUCCAUGGGGCAUGCCUGUUCGAGCGUCAUUUGUACCCUCAAGCUCUGCUUGGUGUUGGGUGUUUGUCCCCGUCUCCGCGCGUGGACUCGCCCCAAAGUGAUUGGCAGCCGGCGUACUGGUCCCGGAGCGCAGCACAUGUCGCGCAAACGAGUGCCUUGGUACGGCGGCGUCCAUAAGCCCCUCUCUCACGCUCUUGACCUCGGAUCAGGUAGGGAUACCCGCUGAACUUAAGC